This 22091-nucleotide long non-coding RNA is filed under the name Brassica napus (rape). RNAcentral's name for it is "long non-coding RNA (BNAP_LNC022536)". The record is from RNAcentral. Lineage: Eukaryota; Viridiplantae; Streptophyta; Magnoliopsida; Brassicales; Brassicaceae.
UAGAUUUCACGGGACAAGGACGCAAGAUCGUACCCGUGGCAGCGAAAGGUGUGCAAUACUUAGAUAAGCAAUGGUGCGUUGUGAACAAAGACACGAUCAAUCUAGAUGAAGUUGGUCCGGACCUAGACUAUGCGUGUUACCAUGGUGACUGCACCGCGAUGCUUUACGGGUCCACAUGUAGUAACCUCGACAAAAUCCAAAACAUAUCAUACGCAUUUAACAUGUUUUUCCAGAUUCAGGGCCAAGACGUUAGGGCUUGUGAUUUCAGAGGAUCUGCUAUGAUUACUAAGAACAAUGCAUCCGUCGGAAGUUGCUUGUUCCCUAUUCAGAUCGUCAGUGGAAGUGGUGAUUUCAGGAUCAGCUAUGUGUUCGGAAGAUUCAUUGUCGCUGGACUUAUUCUUCUUGGAUUAGUCACAGCUAUAUAAUUUGUUUGCUUGUUUUUUCACAGUUUUGGGAUACUUACUAUAUUCGGUUAAUUGUUAUAUGUUUGUUUGAUAACAUUUGAGUUAGUACUCCUAUAUGUUUAAUAGAUUGACAUAAUCAAAUCAUAUCUCGUUUAUUGUUAUUUUUCGUUUGAGUUUUUUUAAUAGUUUUUUUCGUUUGAAGGUAGUAUGAAUCAGAUAAAAGUUCUAAUUAAAGUUAGUAUGAAUCGUAGUACAAAAUUAGAAAUAAUACAAAAAUUAACAGAAAAGCUAGGUUGGAUUCUUUGUUUGAGAUGGGGUAUCGAUUCCAUAUAGGACUUCUCUUGAAAAAAUCCAAGGUUGGAUCAUCGUAUAUCUUGGAUUGUAAACACUUAACAUGUGUUACUGAAAAAAAAACAAAUAUAACCAUUUGAUAUAUUAGGUUUAAUAGCUGGUUGUGGCUAAUCUGAUAACCAUAUGUUUCAACAUUUGUUAAUAAGAAUUCUAGUAUUAAAAUAAUUAUUGGUUUCAUAAGAAUCGAUAUUUUAUAUAUUUAUUGACAAUUAUGAUGUGUUUUCUAAUGCACUUCUAUAUGAUAUUUUAUUUUUGAUUAGCAUCGCAUAGUAUAUACACAAAUAAGAAAGUAAAUUACAAAAACAUUUAAUAAUUUAUUUUGUGUAGAAAUUUUCAAAUCUAUUAUAAAACCGACGAAAAAAUCAUAGAUUGUAAGCGCUAACUUUAAAACAAAUGUUUCGGUUUAAUAAAAAUCAAACUUUGGAACUUUCUUCCAAAUUAGAUUUCAAGGAAUAUAAGUAUCACUGUUAUAUAAUAAAAUAUAGUACUUUUUAGCAUAAAGAAAGAUGCACUUAUUUUUUCUAAUAGGGUCGGCGUUCAUGAAUAUACACCUCUAUCACUUUCACUCUUUUUUUUUGCCGGCCUCCAUCGCUUUCAAAAUUAAAAGCAAUACAAAAAAAAUUAACAUAUGUAAUUUCAUUUGAACCUCACACUGGCACAUUCCUUCACUCUUGACCAGCCGCCCGCCUGUUUCAGUCCUUCCUUGACAAUAUAGGAUUUUUUUUCCUCUGCUUAAACUUACACAUGACUCAUAGUUUCUAAAGACCAUCCUAUUUCAGUUAAAGAAAACCCUACAUAUUACUAGAUGAUUUCAAUAUUCUUAACCAUUUGCAUGUAAUCUUUAUACGAUAUUACAUCACAUGAAUUUAUAACAAAGCCAUAUCACAUAAUAAAAAGCCACAUCACAUGUUUUCUGUUAAUAUUUAUGUUUUAACACAAUAAAAGCAACUACUAUAUUGUGGUUAAAAACAAUUAAUAGUGGCACCAGGAAAUUUCACCUUACCUUCAAGACAAGAUUAAAGACCAAUUUGAAUCGUUGACUUAGGAAAUUUUGGUCACUGUGGGUCAGUGAGUGUAAUAAUAUAUCCUCGAUACCUUGCUUAGCUAUGAGCCAUAACUUUUGUAAGGAAACACAACGAAUCAUAAGAAAACAGAUGUAAUCUUUUGUCAACCAUGUCCAUAAGAAACACGUUUCCUAUCAAAAAUGGACAGGAACUGUUUGAUUUUUAAGUUUUUAAUUUUUUUGAAACAUAUUGAUGUAUUUAAUUAUGGUACAAUCAGUCUAUAGGUAACCAUUCUUUUACAUUUGCAUAAAUAGAUUGGACCGGAUAGCCAAAAUUUUUGCUUAAAAAAAUUUUUAAACCAAAGUUAGGCCAGACACUCAAACUUAAGCUUUAUCACAGUAUCUCUAAAAAACAUAGUUACAUUUUCAGAAUCCACGUUACCGAACACUAACUAUGACGUCCGUGGACCUUAUGCUCGUACGGGGACCUCAAGCUCUAUAUCCAAAACUCAUUACUUAAACCGAAGCUUACUUUUCACCACCAUGGAUAGUCUCUCCAUACGUCAUUAGAAUGACGUCAUCUUCCUCUUCUUUCACACGUGGUGCUGAAGCACCUUUCUAGUAACCACGCUGAAAUUGCUUGUAAAUGUUUAUUAAUCUUAUCUCUUAAUUAUCUUUCCUUACAACAUAAAAAUAAAAACUUUCGUAAUAUAUUUGUAAGUUUAUCAGUGAAAGAUGCUGAGACGAAGGACCCGCCGAGUCAUCGAGUUGCAUUUAGUACGAGAUCAAAGAUUGAUGUGAUGGAUGAUGGUUAUAAAUGGAGGAAGUAUGGGAAGAAAUCUGUCAAGAACAACAUUAACAAGAGGUAAUUAAUUAAUAAAAUAGUUUAAUUGCUCAUUUCAUCUCAUUAAGUUGUUGAUUUAUAAUAUUUUAUUUAGUUGUUUUUAGAAAUUAACAUGUGGUUGAUUGAACAUUUUCUAUCAUCAUCUUAUAAAUCUAGUGUUAUAGAAUGAUGACUAAUUAAUUAGAUCACAUAGUGUGUGAUUUGAAUACUGUUUAAUGGUCUUUUAUUCAGGUCCGUCUCAAGUAUUGUAUGGGCCCUGCUUAUAUUAUCUACCAACCCACUUCACUUGUAUCAAACUACAUAUCACACAUAUGCAUAUAUAUUUUUGUAUGUUUUUGUUUUUAUACAGACAUACCUUUGUAACUGAUUAGUGAUAAACUGACUAAAAUCCAUGGGUCAUUCAUCAUCUAGAUCUUAUUUUGGCUCAUGUAUCAUAGAUAAAAGCACAAAAAACAAAUCGCCCACAUGUGUAUAUUCAAUACAUAUAUGGAGAUCAGUCUGGAUUUUUUUUAUUUAUAAAAGUAACUAAGCUAAUUAAGGGUGAAUGAAUGGUGUGAAUAUGUAUAUAGGAAUUAUUACAAAUGCUCAAGUGAAGGUUGCAUGGUGAAGAAUAUGUAUAUAGGAAUUAUUACAAACUAGAUAAGGCCCGUGCGUUGCAACGGGUUUUGUUUGAUGUUUUAAUAAAAACAUAAAAAUAAUAAAUCAUUUUAUUAUAGAUUGAGGAUUUUUUUUUUUGUUUGCAUAAGCUGUGAGAUAUUUAUUUAUAAUUACAAACUCAUUUACACACAUAAAUCCCUAUUAGUAUUUGUAUUUAUAAUCAUGGUGCAUAGGUAAAUUGUUAUCAACUUUGUAUUUAAGGUUAGAGAAAACACUCAUACCUAAAAAUUUAAACCAAACUCAACCAAAGUAAAAAUUAAAAUGAAAAAAUUGAAAGCUAAAUAAGGUCAAUCUAGUUAGUGACAAUAUUAUACGGGAAAUUACCAAAAAUACCACAUUCUUAAUACCACUUUUGUUCUCACUUUUAAAAAGAAAAAAAAAACACUUAUAAUCCUAAGGUUAACUAAUCUAGACUAAGGGUUUAGAAUUGAGGGGGUGGGGUAGGUUUUAGGAAUAUGAAAUUUAAGAUUCUAAUAAAUAUAUAAAUAAAUAAUUAAUUUGUUUAAAUUUUUUUUGUGUUAACUAAAUAUAGUUAACUCAUAGAAGUUAACAUAAAUAUAUAUAUGUUAACUAAUACCGAGAUUCAUAAACUUCAUUAUUCAUUUAAGAAUUUUCAAUCAUAUGGCCAAGAUUAACCGAGCAACCAUUAUCAUAGCUGAAACUAAUAGAAAUAAUAAAAAUUAGUAUAUUAAAUUUUCUUCAACUAAUUAGAGUUAACUAAUAAAAUAAACAUCCAAAUCUUUUUAUUAGAAUUUAGUUCAGAAGAUGCUGAUUCAAAAAUUACACUUUGAUAUCUCUUGCUAAAAGACUUUCAUGAUAAUAACAAUACUAUCACAUUUCACAGCGCGAUAUAUAUCUUCAAAUAGUUAUACUUGUCCGGCUCACAAUGUUGCUUUUAUUUCAAUUUCAAUUUCACUAUAUAGAAUAGAGUUUUUGUAGAAAAAAAGGAAAAAAAACUGAAAUUGCUUAAUGAAAUUGGAUUAAUAAUUCAUAGAGAAAAAAUGCUACAGUUAUUUAUAGAAAAAUAUCUCUUUAACAAUUAAGUUAGAGUAAUUAUUUGAACAUCGGUUUUUUCAUAUUAUUGAUAUACUAAUUACACAUCUGUAACAAAAAAGGUUAUAUAUAUAUAUAUAUAUAUAUGUAUAUAAAUGCAUGAAUGUUAUCAUCAAAUUAAUAAUUUCUUGUAUCUUUAAGUUGAGCAAAAUCUUUGUAGUUGAAAUCAAUUUUUUUUCACAGAGUAUUUGAGGUAAUGGUUGUUUCACACAUAUGCAGUUGUUGUUCUCUCAAUCACUCUUAUCUGAAAUUUAUGAUCGGAGACUUUAUAGUUCUUACUGUAAUCCUUUCAGUUCCAAAAAAAAGAAUAAUUGUAAUCUUUUUUGGAUUAUGAUUUCUUAAACAUAAAAUUUACUAUUUUAAUAAGAAAGUUUAUUAUUAUUUGGAAAUAUUUGAAAUACUUGUUUUACAUUUUUUGUUUAGAUUUGAAGAAAAAAGAAAACUACAAUUAAACAGUCUUUAACAAUUUUAUUUUGUAGAAGAUUUUAUAAAAGGAUAAUUACUAUCAAACAAAUUUUUACAAUUAUAUUUUAUUUAUGAUUUUAGAAAACGAAAAUUAGUAUUAAGUAAAUUAUUAUACUUUUUUUUGUUUAAGAAUUGUAAAAAGGAAAAAAAAAUUAGAAAAAGGAAAUUAUUGUCAUAUCGAACUCGAUCGGUUUCUAAUCUCGAUUUUGAUCUUAGAUUAUCACUCUAGCUUGAUCUCGAUCUAUUUCAUAGUUAAUGGAUGGUUGUGUUCGUCUUUGUAUGUAGUGAACCCGGAUCGUUUUCCUUCAAUUGGAGGAAGAAGAUCGCACCACCAAGGAGCUGUUGGUGGUUAUUCUCCUCCUCUUCGCCGGAAUGUCACCGUGCUUCCAGAUAAAGGUAUAUCUCCAAUCUUUUGAAAACUAUCUUUUAGAUCUGAAGAAUUUGUACUAGUCUGGUUAAAUUAUCUCUAGAGUAUCCCGGUUGGUGUCAUAUAUAUUCUUAGAUCUGACAUUUAGAUCAUCUCUGAGCUGAGCUAGUUCAAUUUCAUAUUCUCUUCGUAUGCAGUGACGAUCAUGGAUCGUUUCCCAUCUCCAUUAUUUAGUAGUCUGGUUAAAUGAUAUGUUAUAGUAUCUCGAUUGGUUUCAUAUAUACUCUUAUACUCUUAGAUCUGACAUUUAUAUAAUCUCUGAGCGAGCUCAUCUCGAUCAGUAUCAUUUUUAAUGAUUCGAGUUCUCCUCUGUACGUCUUCUUCUUUUUUGAUUCAUUUCUUAUUCGUUUUGAACAAUUGUAUUGAUUAAAAUUGUUGUUUCUUCUCUUUGUAGGAAACCUGAAAGAUGCUUCUUGGGAAACUUGAGAUUCUUCGUAUGGAACACGUUUUACUCUGCUUGCAUAUUUUUUUGCUGAACGUUAUAAGAGCAUGAUUAACCCAUAACUCCAUUUGGGUCUCUUAUUCAUUAUUUUAGUAAUUAAAACUAAUUAAGAAUCUUAGUUAAGAGCUGCCUUGAUUUUGGAUCUCCAAUGGUAAACUCUUAUUUUGGGGUUCUUAAAAAAAAAAAACUUUGUGUAUUAAACACCAUUAAGCACAUUCUUAUCUUACUCGUGAGAUAAUAGCAGUUCCAGAGUAACCAAGUUUUGAGAUGCUACACGACCAGAAACUAUGAUCAUAGCCAUCACUAAGAGCUUUUUUAACUUCCUCAACAUCCUUCACCUAACAUUAGUGUAAUAGAUGUAUUUAGUACACAAGAAUUUAAUCCUUUUAAACAUAAGAAAGGCUAAUGUUAUGUAAUGACCUAGAUCUUUGCCUCGUGAAAGCACAACACAUCAAAGUUUUCUCUUUGCGCAAGUUGCAGAGGAUAGAAGCUCUCUAGCUUCAACAAUGCUCUCAAUCCAUUAACAUUCCAAGUCAUAAUCUUUACAGACUUGGUACCCUCUGGGAGAGGAGGAGGUCUCAUUGUCAUUGGGUUAUAAGCUUUAUAGUCUUCCUCAGGCUUCUUAUGGGCAAGUAUCGUCCAUGGUUCACUUUGAAUUGAGGAUUUGAAUUGAGGAUGAUAUGAUUUAAUCGGUUCUGAGGACUUUGCUAGAUACGGUCAAUGACGCUUCUUCCUCUUUUAACCGAAGCUUCUGCUUACCUAAGAAGAUAAAGCAACACAUAGUGUUUCAUAAUACUCUAUGUAGAUUGCCAGUAUAUAGUACAAAGUGUUUACUUUUUCUGUAACACAUGACAAACCUGUUUUGGCUAAUGACUUUUGUUCACUAGUUUUUGAAGAAACUUUGGCAUUCAAUUUUUUCUGAGUAGACUGUUUUACUCUUUUUUCUCCAUGGUCAUUGCCAUAAGCAUCAGAGCUAAUGCAGUCAUCUUCUGUAGACUCUUCCUUGCUUCUGAUCUUUCUUUUGAUGGUCACACUUUCUGAGCGAGUGGAUGAAGUAGUUUCCUUUAUUUCUUCACCAGAACUUUCAUCUGUAACAGAUAAACAAGGCAGAUCUUACCAAAUAGCAAAGCUAUAGGAAGUCUGAGACUUUUCAAUCUACUUCAAAUGGAACAAGCGGGAACAACUACUUAAAUGCAAACAAGUCCACAUUCUUUUUUUAAUGUGUAGUUACAUACCUUGUAAAUUACUGUCCAUAUGAAGUCGUAAAGCUGAUAUAAGUUCCUUUCUUGUUUGCUUAUCAAGUAGAACGAUUCGCCAACACAUGCGAUUUUCGUAAUCAACAGAGAGAGAGAGAUAGAGAACGAAAACAAACAAAGUCGGUUUUUUUUUUUCCCUUCUCAAAAUCUGAAUACAAUCACAAAACAACAAACUUUGUACCUUUCGAUUCACAGAACAAAAGCUUGAUUCGAUUCUAGAUGCAUGCGAUUUUCGGGAGAAAAGGAGAGAGAGAGAGAGAGCACCGAAAGAACGACGCCAUGGGGAUCAGUUUUUUUUUGCCUUCUGAAAUUCUCUCACGACGACAUGGUGAUCAGUUUUUUUUUGCCUUCUGAAAUUCUCUCUCCAAUAAGAUUAAAACACAUGUCUAACAAGGGACGGUUCUUCUAACUCCUAUUUAGGAGACGUUCUUUGUCUUAAUUGCAAUUUUUCUUUUUCUUUUAAUUGUAAUUCUCCUUAAAGACCCAUCUAAGAGACUGGGUUAAUCCUGCUCUAAUGUUGCUUACGUAUUUUGUGUUGUUAUGCAAUUAUCCCUAAAUACCUACUUUAUACUUCGUGUAAAAUGAUAUUUUAACAGCGGUUGAAAUUUUUAAUUGUUUUUGUUCUGGAGUCUGUAGAACUAGAAAAAAUAAAUCUUAGUAGGUUGUUGACAUAAUUUAUCAUUUUCUCUAACUACGUUUCCUACUUUUGUCUUUACUCAUUGGUUUCUUUUUACUUUCUAAUAAUUCCAAAGUUUCCCUUUUCUUUUCCUGUGAUUUUCAUUCUAUAAUUAUAUAUCUCAAUGAGCAUUUUCAACAAUAAUUGAUUUAAGUUUUGUAUUCGUUUGGUAAUUUAUGACAUUUUAUUAACAUAACCAUUUCUAACUUCAUAUCAAUGUUAAAAUGAAAUCUAUAAUUUGUUUUUGUUGGUUCUAUUUCCAAAUUAUAUGACAGCUUAAAAUCUCAUAAACCUGGGUUGAAAAAAGAGAGAAAAACCUAAAAACUCCUAAAACCAUUUUCCCGACAUUUCUAUGCCCAGUUGAAAAAUCGGAUGAAUCUUUUUAAUAAAGUCAAAUGACAAUAUGGUCGAAUGGUACAGUGAAUGUAGAAAAAUGAUAAAUCUUCUAAGUUUGAUAUCUAUUAUUUUAAAUUUAUUUAUUUGUGUGAUCAAUCAAUAUAAAUAUUUAAUUUUCAUUGUAAUUAAUCAGAUCCGACUGGCACUGACAAGUAUCCUAGUUAUUAAAAAAAAAAAGAAUAAAAUAAAGAUAGUUAAUAGUGUGCUCAGACUAGAACCUAGGAGUAUCUCUCAGAAGUCUGAACCAUAUGCUUUACUCAUUGGUUUCUUUUUUUGUUUCUAGUAGUAAUUCCAAAGUUUCCCUUUUCUUUUCCUGCGAUUUUCAUUCUUUAAUUCUAUAUCUCCAGUCAUGUCUGAUGAAUAAAAGUACUGUCCAAAGAAAGUCCAUAACAUCAUUAAUCAACCCAAAUAAGUUCAAACAAAAUGACCAAAGAUGAUAAAAUGUACAUCAUUAUCGACAAUAUACAUAACCUCGUUUCUACUGAAAUCUAGUAGCCUAUUAACCGAAUUAGAUAUCCUUGUCACAUUCCUUGUUGUAUCUAACCUCACCACGGUACUCCUAGUCUGACUUUGUCUCUACUUUGAUUGUACUCGCACUCCAAAAGCAUUACAUCAAUCAUUUUCCUUCCCUUUUAACCGCAAUUCUCCUCGUACUAGUUGAGACCUCGUAUCGUUGCCUCUAUAAAAAAAAACACCAUCGUAGCCACAGGUUCUUCGCUGUGUUUGGUUUAAUGAGACCAACCCCAUAACAUGUUCAAAUGCGAAUGUGAAGACCAAACCACACCAAAUUCCCAAGUAGAUUAGGUCCCAACCAAUUCCAAAAGCAGACCCGCGUACAAUCCAACAGGGACCAAACACACAAUGAGAGACCAAAUACCUAACUUCAUUGUCUAUUUAUCUUUAUAUUACCUUUGUUGGCUCAGCUUGGAACGCUGGUGAUGGAAAGCAAUUUUGUAGCGCCGAGCCCGAUCCUCAGAGCGUGGCAGAGGCUAGAACAGAGUUGGCAAAAUCCAAACAGUUUUUCGUAUUUCAACGAUGUUCAACCUCUUUCUGUUUCCUUCCAAGUAUCAUACUCUGAGGAGCCAUAGAGACAAACAACCAAUAAUAAUUGAGAACAAAGAGAUAAAAUUGAAAGUGUGAUAGAUAGAGAAAACUGUUUAGAUUAACCUAAUCCCUUUUUUUUAAUAGUAAGUAUUCCAUAAUACCUCCUAUCUCCCUUCUGUGAAAUCCCCAUUCAAUAUCAAAAAUCGAAUCCCAUUGAUAACCAAAUUUCGAAUCCAAUUUCUGAGUCAUCAAAAAAAAAGAUCCACAAUCCAUAUAAUCUCUUUAACAUUAUCACCAGAAUACCUUUUGUGAUUCUGUAAUUUCGUCUUGAUGUUGACUAAAUCUAGAUCUCUUUUCUUUAAAUUCGGAUCCGUUCUGAUACUCCCGGAUUCGAGUUAGCAUAUCUAUCUAUCAAGUUAAUUCUUGUUUGCGGAGCUACAUCAAAUUGAUUUUUUUUAAAGGAAAUAUUUUUUGGGUAGACUUAUUAUUUUAAAAUGUUAAAUUAAAUGAUGAUUUGAUAGGUUUAUUGAUAUUUUAUUUUUUCAAGAAGAUUUUCAAUAUUGUGAAGCUUAACUUUAAAAAUCCAAUGUGAUUUCAAUUAUUCUAGACUUUAUUUUUAAAACAUUUGUAUCCUUUAAACAAUGAUUUGUUAUUUUUAUAUUAAUUUUCUAAAAUAGUAUACGGAGUAUUUCUACUAAAUAGACUAUUUUCAAGUUUUUAUCCUAAAAAUAGAUCAUAAAGAAAGAAAAUGACAAAAAUGUUUUAUUUAAUAGGUAAAAAGAUCUUAAUACCUUAGAUAUAUAAAUACAAAUAAAUAAAUAAAAAAGAAAAAAAAUAUAAAUAUUUUUUUUAUAGUUUCAAAUUAUAUGUUUUCAAAUUCGAAUUUUUUUUUAUCAAUUUUUUUUGUGAUUUGAAAUACUUUUUAAAAUUAUUUUUUAAAUCUUUAUUUUCAAAUUUUUAAUACUUACUUUUUAUUUUAUAAAAUUUUAAAACUUAAUCUCAAAUCUCCACCUCUUAACUAAGGUUUGGAUAAGUUAACUCUAAAUGUAUAAGUGUAUAUUUGUUUUUUUAAUGAAAUAUUUUAGUCAUUUUUAUCCUAGUGUAUAUAUGUGACAAAAAAAAAUUUAACGCUAUUCUAGCGUAUUUCUCUAGUAUAUAUUUCACAUUGAUUCUUUUUAUCUUAAAGUUAUGUUUCUUUUAGUGCGUAAGAAAUCUACAUCAACAUUGCUUCGAUUUUGACUAUUAAUAUAAUUUAUGAUUGGUAAAUUAUAGUUAUACAACUAUACGAUUUUUAUAAUAUAAUUAACUUUAAUAUUUUCAUAGCUAUAGUGCUAUAUAAAUAUGUAAUUGCUAUAUUAUAUGAUUUUAAUCAUACAUAUUUUACUCAGAUGUCGGCUAACAUAUUAUAUUAUCAUUUCUAGAAUGGUUAAUUAUGCUAUAAAAAUAUACUUUUAUAGUAGUUAAUUUAAUUUUAAAACUAUAUUUUAUACAAAAACAAUCAAUAAAAAGUAAAAUAUAUAAAAUCUAUAUAAUAAUAGUAUCUCCCCCAAGGCUAUCCACCUAGGCAGUUUUAAAGUUUGUGGACCCCACGUUUUUUUGGUUUGGUUUGAUCACAAGUUUUCGAGUUUUGUUUGAUUAGGGUUUUAUUGAUCUCCUUCUUCGACCCUUCAACGGUCGCGUCUUCGCUGGUUUUAAUCUGCAAUCAGACGAUUUAUUUUCUCAAUUCUUAACCUCUCUUAUGAUGUUGUUUCCCAAUCAGCCAAUUCAUUCUAGACUGCGCCGGCCGUGCCGCAGCACCUUAACCACCAUAAUCUGAAGGUCCAGGCGGUGGUGGAGCUCCGUAAGGCUUCUCCUUUGUCAGCAUGUAGUCCCCUGAUGUAGCAGGCGCGGAAAGAGAAGAAGGAGGAAGUGCGCCGUGGGGCACCGUACGGCGGAUUGUUUCUGCUGAAGGAGUAAGGUGGCGGUUGAUUUCCACCACCGUAGCCCGCUGGAAACGAAAAGGUAAACACUUUGCAAAAGAGAUCGAAAAAAGAAUGAGUUGACAAUAAAGGUCUGUUUCUUUUAGUUUCUGAUAUGUUUUAGGAAAAAGAAACCAAGAAAGAAGCUUUCAGGAAUUAUUUAGAGUUCGGUGGAGUUAGGGGCUUUUAGGAAGUAUUUGUUAUUGAUUCUCUCACCAAAGGUAUUGUUUCUUUUUCUACAUUACACCAUCACUAAAAGAAACUGCAACCGUUUCUGUAUCAAAUAGUUUGAUCGUUUCCUGACAUAAUAAUUUGAUUUAUACUCUUUUGUAUGUUCUGGAACACAAUGUGGGUUUCCAAUUUACUUCUGGUUGUUUUGUAUGAGCAGAAUGACAAGUCUUCCUUCCUGUACUUUGUUUCUAACCAAUAUGUACCCAGGUGAUGAUAGCUUUUAUAACUUAAUCCUAAUAUGACUUAAGGUCAAAGAGUAUAAUUUUUUUAUGAUCUCUAACCAUAAUAUCCUUCUUUCGUUUUGCUUUCAGAUUCAUUCAGCAAAAUCUAGGAGGUCUUUCAGUUUCUGAUUACGAGAAGCUUCAAGCUGAGAAGUCUAAUCUUCAAAUAAAGUAUAUGAGCUAUUUGCUAAACAUCAAGAAACGUUGAGAGAGGUAUCACGUCCUAACUUGAAUAUAAAAGUUCCAUCAUCAAACCAUCUGUAGCUGAUUAGCAAAUCAUUCCAUGCUUAUGUAGUUACUUAUAGUGGCUCUACAAUACACCAUCCAUAAUCUUAAACAUAUCGAUUCAUCCUUGAUAAACUGAAACUACUUGGGGCCAGUAAUAUCGAGUAGCUAACUCUCUCUGUAGCUAAGAUUCACAAUUGAUGUCGUUGUUGUCCUGGUUUCAACUGCGAAGUCACCUUUGAUAAUUUACAUCUUGGUCGCCCUUCUCAACAAGUUUUUGAUGCUCAUCCAUUUUCAUGAUGCAAGGUAUAUCCAAAAGUAUUCAGACUUCAUGUGAAUUAUUCUUCUGCUUCUUGAUGGGAAGGUAUUCGAUCAACAAACUCUUACAUAUCCAAAUCUCGCUUUGUUUCACUGGCCAACUAAUUUUGGCAACUGUUAUUGUCAAUAGAAUUCUGUAAUCCACACUUUCAUCCCUGCAUUCAAUGAUUUAAAACCAACCAAUAUGGUCACCUGUCUAAAAAAAAGACCACCCAUUCGUCAUAGGACGUUUCAUGCUUUCCACAACGAUCACACUAUUUGACAAGUCUUACGGUGAGGGGUUCUGGGGAGGACUCACACUCCACUUGAACAUGAGAUGUUUUCAAAUUCCAGCAUGCUCUUGUAUCUCCAGUGUCCAGCCAGUGCUGUCAACCCCGGUUCAUCGUUGUCAUUUCUGGAGGUAAAGAUAAAAACUAGGAAACAUGAUUCCCCCUUUCCAUUAAGAGAUUUUUUCUACAGAAAAGGGGCAAGCAGCUAAAUUAUAUCUAUAGAAGUAAUUUUUUUCAAUCUCAUGAUCUCUCAUAUUUAUAAUUGAUGCUUCUAUAUUCUAAAUAACGUCUUUACACCACGCUGCAGAAGUUCUGCCAAGAUAUUUCAGCUCAGGAUGGGUAUUUGCUCAGUUUCAUGAACCAGAAGUCGCCCAGUUCUUUGCAACAUUUGGCGCUAACCUCACAAUUGCAUGGAUGGAAGGUAUAUUCUUUCAUAACAUUAAGUUAUGAAUAUUAAUAGCUCAUGCAGAAACUUGAUCGUACACUGAUUCUUUUCGAAAUCUGUAAUAGCUCAGGAAGGUAUAUUCUUUUCGAAAUCUGUAAGCUAUGAAUAUUUGGCUCAAACAUGGUCGUACACUGAUUCUUUUCAUCCCAUGUUUUCCUUUUCACCUUCUUAGACAAUAGGAGCUCGGUAAAGCUUCCAUGAAGCGGAGAGAGCUUGAAUGGUCUGAAGUAAAAAGCAGUCUUGCUCAGUAAUUAACGGCUUCACAGAUCCCAUGUUCUUUGGAUGUGAGUGACAAUGGACGAUUGGAGAAAAAGACAAGCAUCUGGGCGGAGCAGCGAGGGCAAUUAGCGUCACCUCUGCUGUACUAUAAUUAUCACCUCCGCAGACGCCCUGGAGUCAUAAAUACGACGAGAGAAGGAGGAGAACACGAAAGGGGUUACGGUGUUGGAAGGUCAAGCUAAAUUUAGUUGUUACCUAUCACUAUCAGUGUCCACCACCGAUGCAAUGGCCAAUCGAAUCUCAAGUUCAUUUUAAGGAAAUGGUCUCAGUCAUAAGACUGUUAUGAACAAUCGAUUUCAAAAUAUCAACAUAAACUUAGGAUAAUAAAUUUCUCUCGAAUGCAUUAUUUUUUAAUCAAAAUUUGAUCCUUUUCAAAUAAGAUGAGUCAAACCAUAUAUGCAACUCAUACUAUUAAGCUCACAAACAGAAAAGAAGGAAAAUAAACACAAACUACCUUCCUCAUAUAUUUUAGUUUUAUAUAAUGAAAACCUAUUUUAUAGUUACUUAAAUUCCAUAUAGUAAAAAAAGGCGAAUAUUCAUAUAUGCUAAUAAAUGAAGUACGAAAAUAAUAAAAAUAUUCAGUGAAAAUUAGCCAAACAAAAAAAUAUUCUAAAUUUAAUGGGUUAUUUCUGUCAUACCUUGCUCUUGGUGGUCCUUCCUGGCUGCAUGAUCUUAUCCGUCAAGAGAGUACAUUUUAAGCUCUUCAGUCUUUCCCUUAAGAUUGAGUUUUAGUAUGUAGUCUCUUGCUUUGUUUUUGUUCCUUUGCCCUACUGAUGUAAUCAGUUGUUUCAGACGUUUUUAAAAAAAAUAAAUUAAAAUACAAUGUAGAAUAAAAAUGCAUAUACACAUAAAAUUGAUAUGUUCAACAAAAGUUAUAUAAAUUGACAACUCUAAAUGUAGUUUUUUUUACAAUAUCAUUAAGAGCAUCUCCAACUCAACUGCGUAAUUUACUGCAAAUUAGAAAAGUUAUAUGAAUUGACAACUAAAAGGGUAGUUUUUUUUUUGACAAUACCAUUAACAUCAUACAAAGUUUCAUAAGGAUGAACAAACUAAUCUCCAUACAUGAAAGCAUCAUUCAACUUAGUAUUUAACACUAAAUAAAAGUCUUAACAACAAACAACAAUAAAAAAAAAACAGUUAAUGUCCAAUUGUUAUACUAUGACAAACUAUAAACAAAUUAUAUAGUCCAGGAAUGAUUUAAGAAAUUUUGGUAUUCAAACAAAAUAAAUAAAUUUCAAAAUUGAUAGGAAUCAAUAAAAAAAUGUAAUUGUGUUUGGCAUAUUAUGUUUGUGGUUAAUGUUGCAGUUGGAGUAAAGAGCUUGCAUUCAAUUCGAAAGAUGAUGCAACAAGACGACCACACAAUACUUGUGGAUCUUUCUCCGGUAAAAGAAAAAUAUAAAAGUCAAUAACCCCGCGCUUUCGCGGAGACUCCUUCCCUGUAUAAAAAACAGAUCACUAUCUAUUUAAGAAAUCUAAACAAUAAAAUUAUUAAGUUACACAACAUACAACACUAAAAUUUAAAUCAUAUAUUUAAAACGUAAGAUAAUAUCAAAAUUUACAAAAAAAUAUUCGCACGGACGUGCGGCUUCAAACUCUAGUUGCUAUUAAAUUUAAUAUGUAGCAUUUAAAUUCAGUAGACAAUUUAAUUAUAUGCUUUUACCAUGUUUGAUACGACAUGGAAUAAGAGAAGUAAUUACUAAUAGUGAACGAACAUUUGAAAAUAAAGUUAAGGUGUCGGCGAUACGACAUGGAAUAAGAGAAGUAAUUGCUAAUAGUGAACGAACAUUUGAAAAUAAAGUUAAGGUGUCGGAAGCUCACAGUUAUAACAUAAGACAUUGGUCCAAACAGCAUCAGUAGUUUUUUUUAUCUACACACAUUGAGAAACCAACAAAGAAUUUGGUAUGGACUAAUCACAAGUUUUCUGGGGUUUUAGGAAUUAUCAAUGAAAGAUUUGACAACUUUUUAUUGAUUUUAGUUAUGAGAAAGAGGGAAGUGCCUUAUAUAAGAAAAAUUGUGGCCCCAAUGAUAUCUACUUUUGAAAGAUUAUGGAAAUUUACUUUUACUAUGUCGUUUUUUGCUAUUUUAAUUUUAGGGAUUAAGAAAAAAUAAAUAUCAAAAUAACAGUGUUUUUUUUGUUAAUAUUACUAUUUUUCUUUUGAUUUUCUAUUUUACUAUAAUAGUUAGCAUUUUUAAGUAAGUUGUAAAAUGUUACUAUUUAUUUUGUUAGUUUAAAUAGAUUUUUUGGUUUUAUUUUAUAGUAAUGUUUUAUUUUGUGUUUGUUAUUUUAACUAUUUCAAUAUUAAUUUACCAUUUUAUUUUGGUAUAAAAUGUAUUUUGAAUUUUAUUAUACUUAAGAAGAUAUAUUCUUUUGUUAAUAUUACUAUUUUUUUUUUUAAUAUAAUAGUUUUUUUUUUUUUUUUUGGUUUAACCUGGGCGUAUCCCAGGCCGAGGUCCAGACUAAUCCCCAAUGGGAGGUGCGGCCCACGGAUGGACCAUCUCUCCGGGUUUUCAAAUGGGACCUAAAGCAUAGGCCCAUAUCCGCGUGGCCCGGCGUAGGGGUAAAUCUGAGGGGGAGGUUCGAACUCGCGGCCCUUAGGACCAUUGCGAGCCGCCUCACACCACUCGACCACCAACGUCGGGUUAAAUAAUAUAAUAGUUAGUAUUUUUUAAGUAAAUUGUCAAUGUUAAUAUUUAUUUUGUUAGUUUAAGUUAUAUAUAUGUAGUAUUAAUUUCGUUCUUUUAUAUAUUUUGGAAAGAUUAACAUUCUAAAAAAUAAUAAAAGAUUUGUCAUAGUUUGAUUAGAGGUUUUAAAUUUUAUGCGGACACCUUUAAUAGGUUAUACCCUCAAUUUUCCAUAAACCGAGAAAUCGGCGUUGCGGAAUUUAUCACACAUGGUUAAUUGGGAUUUUUAAAACCUUAAACCGGAUUCUGCUUUGUGGUUAUAAAGUUUAACGUGAGCCCAUCAACCCAAUAAGCACAGCUAAAAUUUAUGUUUAAUUAUAGCAUUAACCCUAGCGGUAAAAAAAAAUAGAAAAAUUCCAAUUCUACCAAGAUCUUCAAACCCUAGCUGGCGAACCUUGUCUCUGUUUUUGUCUUUCCUACUUAUAUAUCUGAAAAAUAGCCCCUGUGAAUUAGACAUAGCUAUGGUUAAUUAUCUGUUGAGAAGAAGAUAUCUCUGUCUCUGUUUUUGUCUUUCCUACUUAUAUAUCUGAAAAAUAGCCCCUGUGAAUUAGACAUAGCUAUGGUUAAUUAUCUGUUGAGAAGAAGAUACGUGGCUCCAGAGAUUUCUUUUGAUCUCAUGAUCGAAAUCCUGAGUAGAUUGCCUGCUAAAUCGCUUAUGAGGUUCAAGUGUGUCUCAAAGCUAUGGUGUUGUCUGAUCCGCUCUUGAUAUUUUAGCAACCUUUAUCUCAUGGUCUCAUCAUCGCAACCGCGACCACUUGGUCUAUACAUGAGUUUGUAUAUGAGUUUGGAUUUGGUGAGACACUACAUGUGUGAUUCAAUGGAGAUGUAUGAACUGCUAUAUCAUUAAGGUUAAUGUCGUCUAGUAGUAGUGCUGAAUCAUCAUUAGAACCAGAUUUGACUUUCCCAGGGAUGGGAGGAUACAGGAUGGUGUCUCUUCGCGGUUUGAUUGUAUUCACUAUUUGCAGAAAAGCAUGUAUCUAUAAUCCCGCCACUAGACAGAGUUUAACCUUACCCACCUUCAAAUCUAACCUCUUUGCGCAACAAGAACCUUAUAAGCAUGUCCACUACUUUUUCGGACACGAUCCUGUUCUUGAUCAAUACAAAAUAGUCUGUAGUGUUAUGAUAGCCUCGUCAUUCUCUGAGAUGCUAUUCUCCGAGUUUUGGGUCUUCGUGUUGGAACCCGGAGGUUUUUGGAAAAGAACCGAGUAUGAUGCUCAAGCUCACCUUCCUACAAGACAAGGACUCUGCAUCAAUGGAGUUAUAUAUUAUCUGGCUUUCAAUCAUACACGUCGCUAUCACGUUUAUUGUUUUGACGUUAGGUCUGAAGAUAUCCGUGUGAUCCAAGCACCCCAUGCAGUGCCUCAGUUUUGUACUUCCUUUGGUUUCAUAGAGCAUGGUGGAAAACCAGCAAUCUUUGACUAUUCACGUAUUACAGAAACGGGUGUCUCGGAGUUGUGGGUGUUGGAGGUGGAUGGUGGAAUAUGGUCGAGAAAAUCUCUGGUUUUGAAGCUUUGUCAGAAGCAUUUAGUGGAUGACAUUGACCAUAAUAAGAAGUUGAUUGUUCAUGGUACGGGUGAGAACAAUGAGGUUAUCUUGGCGUUGACUUGUCCUUGUUACCUUCUCUAUUACGAUCUGAUGAAGAAUGAUGUGAGGAAGGUUAAUAUCAAUAGAGUGACAACGCCGCAUGUGUGUAUCAAGGUUCUGGAUAAGUGUGAAAGCAUCAUGCACUUGGAAAUUUGAAUAAAGUUUCUUCUAUAUCAUUAUCUAAUUGUGUUUGUCUAUGAUAAUACAGUUGAACUAUUUUUUUAAUAAUAUUUUUUAUUUUAUUUGUUUUGCAAACAAACAAAACAAUAGUUGAAUCUCUGCUUUUUUUAUUGUUUAAUAUCAUAAAAAAAGAUUGGAAUAUGGGUGGAUUUUUGAAGCUUUGAUGCUGAUGAUCCAUUAGCUGUAUAUAAUGCGGUUUUUUUAGGUAUCAAAUCCUGGUUUGAGUACAUGUGAGGCUCCUACUGUUGUCAGGAGACUGCUAGCUCUCAACACACACAUGAGCUUACAAGUUACAUCCAUGAAUUCAUAUUUUUAUUUGUCUCAUGUGAAUUCCCUAAAACAAACAUUUCAUUUGUUGUUAUUGAUCCGCAGAUCCCUGCCUCGUUUCGAGUCAGAAGAGAAUCAGCAGUUGUAACCAACCAAAGCCAAAGAAAACUUCAGUAGCCACGAGCUUGAGUCUUACACCAUGAGCUAUGGCUUAUGCUGCACCUGUGAAGGUUGAGCCAGCCAAGACAUCUGCAGCUUCAAAGCCACAGAGUAUUGUUGAUUCUUACACAGCCUCCUUAGAGGAUAUGACAGCUCAAGGAGCACUUGACGGGUAAUCUUUGGGACUUAUGGCCUUAAAAACAAAGUUAUUUUUGUGUGUAAUGCUAUAUGCCUAUAUCAAACUAAAUGGGAGAUUUUGAUUAUGACUUUAGUGGAAGAAUUCAAGUAGGACUAUGAAUAUUAAGUAAUAAAGUUAUUUUUAGUCAAAUUUGUGGAUUGUUCAAGAAUGAUUUCUGAUUUCGAUCCCAAAUAUUUUUCUGGUUAUCGCCUAAUAAUUUUUUUCCUUGAGAAAUUUGGUAACUUGUUUUAGCUGUAUAUUAUGACAUAUGUAAUAUUCAUAUUGAUUACUACAUUUCAUUUAUUGUCUUGCCAAAAUAGUAUGAAAGAUAAGUUGUACAGAUAAAUUCAUAUGCGAAAUAAAUUUACGAAUUUUAAAAUAUUUACAUGAACGGUUGAAUAUUCUAUAAAUCUCUAAUAUAAUUUUCGUACACUAAUUAUCAGGAGAAUGUGAUAUUUUGUGUUAUUUUGCAUUUUAAUAUGAAACAUAUUUUAUUUAGUUUUAUGAAAAAUAAUCAAUAAACCGCAUCUUAACUUAUCUAAAACAUAUGCAAUUGUAGUAAACAAUUUUAUGAAUGAUUAUAUAUUUAUAUGACAGCGUAUGAGUAAAAAUGAUAAUAAUAGAUGUAUAUGCACGUAAAAUAUAUAUUCAUUGACAUUUAUUCAGAAACCAUGAUGCAAACCAUAAAUAAAACACUCACAACUAUCAUAUUAAUAUAUCUAAUACAAAACAGUACUCACCUAUUUUUAAGUGAUUUUUUACAUUUUUUAACUAAUUUAAACCACUUUAUUUAUUGUUUUUCCUAAAUAAUUCGAUUAUAUUUAUUACAAAAUACAAAAUAGAACUUAUCUAUUUUAAGUAUUUUUAUAACAUCUUUUACAUUUAUUUUUUCAUUUUUUCUAAUUACUUUAUUAAUUAUAUUUACCAUAAUAAUUAGACAAUAUUAUUUUACGUAUUAACCAAAAUAAUUUCGUAGGUUUGAAUGAAAUUGAUUCAUUCAUAACAAGAAUUUAACUGGUUAAUAAUUUUUUUUAUUUGUUUAUAAAAUCAGUUAUACGUGGGCAUCCAUCCAAGUAUCCGUUCCGGAUCAUUUUUUGAAUAUCGGAUUUUUGGGUUUAAAAUUAAACUUUGUUCGAAUAUUAUAAAUUUUCGGAUGGGGUUUGGACUCGGAUCCUUCCGAGUCCGAAUAGGUUUGUAAAAACUUAAAAAUAUCCAAAUAGCUUAUGUGUUUAGAAAUUUCAUUAAAUAAUUUAGAAAAAUAUAACAUUAGCUAUAGUAUUAGUUAAACAAAAAUAGGUCUAAACAUUGGAAAGGAGAAGUUAUGUAGAAACACCUUUACAUUGGAAAAAAAUGUUUUUGCAACCAAAAUCAAAUAUUAGAUACUGCUAUUAACAAAUCGACAAAUUUAAGAUAUACUCUCUAACUAAAAAAAGAAGCACUAACAGAUUCCAAAUCUCCGAAAAAUACACCUGUAUUACCUCAUGAUUUUUCCUAAUAUAGAAAUUUAUUUUAAGCUAAAACCUUUCACUAAUAACAACCUAUAAACAUCUUUUAAUUAUUAAGACAACAACGACCACCCAAAGACACAUAGAAAAGAAAUUCACCGACUGUAAAGAAAAACAACACACAACAAUCAAUCAAAGAAAGCAGACACAUCUUCGAGAUCAAACAAAACCAAUCUCAUUCAUCGUCGCCUUCUCAACAUGGCCGGAAGGGCAGCAAUGCUCGUUAACCUCGGGACGGUUGUAAUGACCGUUUUGACCCUGGCUAGUUUUGUCGAAGGCUUCGGUGUGAAUUGGGGUAAUAUCGCAUCACAUCCGCUGAAUCCUGAUAUUGUUGUUAGGAUGCUUAAGGAGAACAAGAUCAAUAAAGUGAAGCUUUUUGACGCUGAUUCAUGGACGAUGAAUGCUUUGGCCGGUUCGGGCAUGGAGGUUAUGGUCGGAAUCCCUAAUAACCUUCUUGAAACUCUAGCUGAUGAUUACGGUAAUGCUAAAGAUUGGGUCAAAGAAAAUAUCACUGCUUACAUGCGCAAGGAUGGCGUCAACAUCAAGUAACUUUACUAACAUAUUUUAAAAUUCAUUAGACGUUAAUCCGAUGUUGGGAUCAGUCUUGUUUCAGUUAGAUAUAUGUCUAGACAACAACUUAAACCAAUUAAUUAAUCCUUUUUUAUCUGAUUGAUUUAAAUACCGGAUUUGAGAUCAUCCGUUUUUAGGUGAUAGAUGGCUUCUGCGACGUUUAUAUCCUAACUUUUAUUUUGUUUAAAACAAGUAGAUAAAUUGUUGUAAACAAAAGCCAUGAAGAAAACAAAAACACUCGAAUAGAAAAUAAAUAAAUACUUGUACCAGAGUUUGUAUAUUAAUUAUGUGGAUAUAAUAUUUAUAAUUUCUUGGAUAAAUAUUCAUAUAGCCUCAAAAUCAGAUAUAUAUUUUUAUGAGUUUUUUUUUAUAUACUAAUGAUUAUUUUUUCUAAUCUUAAAAGACAUAAAUAUGUUUCGGACUAAUUCAUUCACAUGAUUGCCAUGCUAUAUAGGUACGUGGCUGUGGGAAACGAGCCGUUCUUGUCAGCAUACAAUGGAUCGUACUUAAAAACAACGUUUCCAGCUUUAAAGAACAUUCACAGAGCGUUAAAAGAGGCCGGACAUACCGAUGUAAUGAAAGCCACGAUCCCACAAAACGCUGAAGUUUACCAAUCAGCUAACGACAAGCCAUCAGAAGGCGAUUUCCGCAGCGAUGUUAAGCAAAUAAUGCUCGACAUCGUCAAGUUCUUCCAUGAUAAUGAUUUGCCUUUCACCGUCAACAUUUACCCUUUCCUUAGUCUUUAUCUGAACCAACAUUUUCCCGUCGAAUAUGCGUUUUUCGAUGGUAAUGGUCAGACCAUUCCUGAUAACGGAAAGAAUUACGAUAACGUGUUUGAUGCGAAUUACGACACGCUGGUUUACGCGUUGAAUAAAGCUGGGAUUAAAGAUAUGAAGAUUAUCGUUGGAGAGGUAACUUGAUAAGCAAGUUAUUGAUUAUUAGAUAGGUGUAUUAAGAAUAUUGAGAGCGUUUAUUGAAUUUGCUUAUUUAUUUUUCUUUUAUGUAUAGGUUGGAUGGCCAACGGAUGGUCAUAAAUAUGCGACGCCGAAGCUAGCAGAGAAGUUCUAUGCAGGACUUAUGAAAAGACUUGCUAAGGACGUUGGGACUCCACUGAGACCUGAGAAAUUAGAAGUUUAUCUCUUUGGUUUACUCGACGAAGACAUGAAGAGUAUUCUUCCUGGACCAUUCGAAAGACAUUGGGGAAUCUUCAGGUAAUAGCUAUUCAAACGUAUAUAAAUCGAGUUUCUUAAGUUUUUCUUAACUGAUUUUGUUACGCUCUAAUAGUCUAAUAGCAUGCAUGCGUUACAAAUCAUUACGGCAAUCAUUUAUCAAAAGAUUCAAAACCAAUUCUAGCAUCUAGAGUAUUUUUGCAGAAACUUUUUAGUGUUUGAUGUGUUUCCUUGUUCUGUUAUUUCACUAUUUCGAUGUUCUAUUAUUCCACUCAUCACAUUAUCAUCAUUACCAUUCUUUAUACGUUAAAGCUACUAUUUUAUAACCACUUAUGUUAUACUAUGCUUAAACUAUACAACAAAAAAAAUUAUACUAUGCUUGUAUUAAGAUAUAAUGAGGAAAAACAAAACAUUUUUUUUUUUGAAAAACAAAACAUCAUAUAUUGAGUUCUCGUUAUAUUCAAUAUAUUUUCAACAGAUAUGAUGGAACACCGAAGUUUAUGCUAGAUUUCACGGGACAAGGACGCAAUUGAGUUCUCGUUAUAUUCAAUAUAUUUUCAACAGAUACGAUGGAACACCGAAGUUUAUGUUAGAUUUCACGGGACAAGGACGCAAGAUCGUACCCGUGGCAGAAAAAGGUGUGCAAUACUUAGAUAAGCAAUGGUGCGUUGUGAACAAAGACACGAUCAAUCUAGAUGAAGUUGGUCCGGACCUAGACUAUGCGUGUUACCAUGGUGACUGCACCGCGAUGCUUUACGGGUCCACAUGUAGUAACCUCGACAAAAUCCAAAACAUAUCAUACGCAUUUAACAUGUUUUUCCAGAUUCAGGGCC